RNAcentral lists this ribosomal RNA (301 nucleotides) under uncultured bacterium. RNAcentral describes it as "partial 16S ribosomal RNA". It matches the Rfam family "Bacterial small subunit ribosomal RNA", at positions 509 to 809 of the family's 1533-position model. The record is from RNAcentral.
CAGCCGCCGCGGUAAAACGUAGGUGGCAAGCGUUGUCCGGAAUUGUUGGGCGUAAAGCGCGCGCAGGCGGUUGUGUAAGACAGGUGUGAAAUCCCCGGGCUUAACCUGGGAAUGGCGCUUGUGACUGCAAGGCUAGAGUGCGUCAGAGGGGGGUAGAAUUCCACGUGUAGCAGUGAAAUGCGUAGAGAUGUGGAGGAAUACCGAUGGCGAAGGCAGCCCCCUGGGACGAGACUGACGCUCAUGCACGAAAGCGUGGGGAGCAAACAGGAUUAGAUACCCGGGUAGUCCCUGUCUCUUAUAA